GAUAAGGCAAGGUGACAAAUACACUUAUUGGAGUACUCGAGGAAGGAACAUUGGCAUGUAUGAAGGUAUGGGAUCGUUGGCUUCAUGAAGAAAUGGAGCUGGAUUUGGAUAAGAGUAUUUAAGAAAGCGCUUGGACAAUUCCACGACUACUUUAUAGAAUGCUCUACGAAAUUCUAUUAUAUAGUUUAAUGUUGUAUGGUAUGUUAAUGACUAAUGGUUUGGUUGUACGUGGUGUCCACAGGUAUCGCUUGGGUUUUCUCUACAUUUAUUGAAGUGAAGCGGACUUAGUUCGAGUUGAGAGCAAGGAUUGUACGGGGUAGAAUGGUCACAUAGUGUAACUCAUAUAGGUUUUGAAGUAUUAAUGUUAUAAAACGUUAUAAAUCCGUUUUAAUGAAUAUAUGGCAUU
Molecule: long non-coding RNA, 406 nt
Filed under: Helianthus annuus (common sunflower)
Lineage: Eukaryota; Viridiplantae; Streptophyta; Magnoliopsida; Asterales; Asteraceae
Description: sRNA HanXRQr2_Chr16g0777751
Source: RNAcentral